UUUUCUCACUUUUCAAAAGAAUCGAAAGAUUGUCUAAUGGUCCAACGCCUUAAAUGACCUUUCGUUCAAUAAAAACAUAUCUUACAAAAAAGGAUAAAAAAGAAUAACUUAACCAAAACGCUUUGUUCACAAAAUAACUACGUAGGUCUGAUUUUCUCAUCACAAUUGAGGAAUACGUAGGAGCAAAGGGAAACGCCCUUGUCGACCACAAAAAGAUAAAAACAUAAAAGGCAUAAAAAGACGUAAGAACGUAAAAAGGGAAAAGAAUAUAAAUUGAAGUCAUAUUUGCACAUUUGAUUAAAGGCUGCCGUCUCUUGUGACGGACGCGUAGAGUGCUAAUACCUUCCCCGUGCGUAAAUACAACUCCUGAACCUUUCACUUAGAGUUCGUAGAUCACGUUUUUUCCGGUUUUUCAGACGUUUUUCUCAAAUAAACGUUGACGGCGACUCCACGCGUAUUCCUUUCUUGGAACACGCACCCGCGAGUCUCGCGUCGCCCUCCCGCCGAAGGGUAGGUUGCGACAACAUGCAAACACAAUUUUAAAUAAAUAACACAAUAUAAAUUUUAAUAAUAUAAAUUAAUAUGCAAACAAAAUUUUUAACAAUAUAUAUAUAUCAAAUUAUUAAAAACUAAUGUACCAUAUAUAUUUGAAUAAUAACUUAAAAUGCCUAAAACAAAUAAGAGAACACAAAAAAUAUUAACUACUUACCGAGUUUGACAAGAACAAUAUGGACGGGAUAACACAUAGCUCACAAGCUUUUUGCGACCACCAAACCAUAACGUAACAACACCAAUUAUAAAUUUAAAUAAAUAACACAAUAUAUAUUUUAAUAACAGUAGAAACAUUUACACAAUAUAUAUACCAAAUUCAUAUAAACUAAGUAACAUAUAUUUGAAUAAUAACUUAAAAUACCUACAAUAUAUAUAACAUCCAAACUUUAUCAUACCUAAAACUAAAAAAAAUAAAUUUAAUUAUGACCUACAGAAAAAAUAGAACACAAAAAUUUUAACUACAUGCCAAAUUUUAACUACGUACUAUAUAUUUUAAUAAUAUCUUAGAAUAUCUAAAAAAAAUAUUAACCUACAAACUAAGAAACGUACCACAUAUAUAUAUAUAUAACGCAAAUAAUAAAAUCAAAUAUUUAAAACACAUAAUAUUAAUAUCUAAAAAAAUAUAGCAUACAAACUUUAUAAUACCUAAAACUAAAACAAAUAAUUUAAUUAUCAAGUAACACAAAAAAAAAUUAACACAACAAAUAUUAACUACUUACAAAAUACCUAAAACUAAAAUAAAUAAUUUAAUUAAGAAGCAACAUAAAAUAAAUUAACACAACAAAUAUUAACUACUUACAAAAUUUGAGAAAGCAAGAGGAGAACCCACUUCAAACUUUUCACCACCAGCACAAGGUAACAACCACCAAGCCAAAGCGUAGCAAGCAGCAAGCAAAAUUCACCAAGUUCCGUACAGCUUGUUUCCAUUCAUUCGUAUAAGGGCGUUUUAUAGGGGAGAAGGUUAUUCCGCCACUCCCACUUGCAAACCCUUUCUGAAAAGUUUCUGCAAAACUUGCUUGCUACGUUCAGUCUGCUGCAUGCAUGCGUGCCAUGUAGGCACCUUUAUCGCCAGCAGCAAUGACGACAUACAUUCAAAAGAUAAUCGCCAGCCAUGUUAGUGACACCGCCCUGUACACUGCGCCCCUAUUCUGUAACACCCUGAACCACUGCGCCCCUAUUCUGCAACCUGCCCUAGACUCACCUAAUUCGCUAGUGCUGCUGGCUACACCCACCUCCACGUCACGUGUUUUGCCAAUGCCAAUGGCGAAACACCUCCAAAUCGCCAGUGCCAAUGGCUACUCAGCUGUAUCGCCAGCUUCACUGGCGCCAUCCAUUAAAAAACAGACCCCCCUCGUCAAUAGUUUUAAAAUAAACCCAGUUUGAUAAAAUGUUUGUAAAAGUGAUCCUAUUUGGUCAAUUUGCCUAACUUGAAUGCAUUGUUGAGAAUUGGUAGUUUGUUAGUUCCUACGAACCAAAACAUUAAACAUUACAGAAAAGAACCUAGGACUUGGGAAUAAGCAAUGUUCAUUAUUUUUCUUUUAGCCUCUAUCAAGUUUUUUACUUAUUUCUUCAUACAUUAGUUUCACAUAAUUUUUGUUCAUCUAAUCUUAACAUAAAAAUAAUAAUUCAGAGUAAUUAAUUUUGAUGACAGACACAGAGAGGCAGAGAAAAG
This 2224-nucleotide long non-coding RNA is filed under the name Glycine max (soybean). RNAcentral describes it as "long non-coding RNA (GMAX_LNC004360)". Lineage: Eukaryota; Viridiplantae; Streptophyta; Magnoliopsida; Fabales; Fabaceae. The record is from RNAcentral.